CUGCAAUAGGGAUAGAAGCGGCAUCCUUUUGCGGAGCGCAGCGGAGCAAAAGAUAUAGCGGAUAGCCCGACCCGAG
RNAcentral lists this small RNA (76 nucleotides) under Epilithonimonas mollis. RNAcentral's name for it is "Chryseobacterium molle Flavo-1 RNA". It matches the Rfam family "Flavo-1 RNA". Lineage: Bacteria; Pseudomonadati; Bacteroidota; Flavobacteriia; Flavobacteriales; Weeksellaceae. The record is from RNAcentral.